This 326-nucleotide ribosomal RNA is filed under the name uncultured eukaryote. Its description in RNAcentral is "partial 18S ribosomal RNA". It matches the Rfam family "Eukaryotic small subunit ribosomal RNA", at positions 1470 to 1796 of the family's 1831-position model. The record is from RNAcentral.
CCCUUAGAUGUUCUGGGCCGCACGCGCGCUACACUGAUGCAUUCAACGAGUCCAACCUUGACCGAGAGGUCCGGGUAAUCUUUGAAACUGCAUCGUGAUGGGGCUAGAUUAUUGCAAUUAUUAAUCUUCAACGAGGGAUGCCUAGUAAGCGUGAUUCAUCAAAUCGCGUUGAUUACGUCCCUGCCCUUUGUACACACCGCCCGUCGCUCCUACCGAUUGAGUGUGUUGGUGAGGAGUUUGGAUUGGCCUCGGAAGGUGGUUCGCCACCGUCCGUAGCUGAGAAGUUCUCCAAACCGCCCCACUUAGAGGAAGGAGAAGUCGUAACA